Triticum aestivum (bread wheat) is the source of this 134-nucleotide non-coding RNA. The record is from Rfam. Lineage: Eukaryota; Viridiplantae; Streptophyta; Magnoliopsida; Poales; Poaceae.
AAUGUACUCCCUCCGCUGAAAAUACUUGUCAUUAAAAUGGAUAAAAAGGGACGUAUUUAGAACUAAAAUACGUUUAGAUACAUCUCCUUUUAUUCAUUUUGAUGAUAAGUAUUUCCGGACGAAGGGAGUAUUAA